GGUUGGAGAAGGCUAUUAGUUCCAUGAUUUUCUUUUUAAUCUCUUCAGCUCGUUGGUGACUCUUGUUUAAUUUUUUACAUUUAUUUAACAACUCCCUAACAGUCGUCUGUUUGCUCACUAGAAAACGUUAGAACUGACGGCAGCUAUACAGCUGUGGUCAAAAGUUUAUUUCAGGAGUGUCAAACUCAAACAUACAAGGGCGAAAAAUCCAAAACACACCUGAGGUCACGGGCCGAACAAGAUAAAUAUUUAUUGGAGUGUCACACAUCUAUAUUCAGCUUGCUGAUAACAGCAGACUCAUCUGUAAACAACAUACUCCACUAAGGAUGACGCUGUAACUAUAUCUCCACAACUGCUUUCAUCAACCUUCCUCUGCACAACACAGCACUCCUCCACAUUAUUAAAGGACUGCAACACUAACCCUGAAUUACAUGUGAAGUCAUCCACUCUGACCCUGUGAUAAGCAGCAGACAAAAACAAAGCAUGUCAGAAGGAAGGAGGCUGCAUGCCUGCAGGCGUGGCUGCAACAGAAAGGAUGCAAUUCAGGAACCUACGGUCAAA
Molecule: long non-coding RNA, 561 nt
Organism: Oryzias melastigma (Indian medaka)
Lineage: Eukaryota; Metazoa; Chordata; Actinopteri; Beloniformes; Adrianichthyidae
Exons: 3
Source: RefSeq, a predicted model, not a curated record